AAUGCCCUGAGAAUAAAAUGAUAUGUGGAUGUUGUGCUUACUUGGACUGUGAUGAAGCUGUGAGGACUCAGGUGGUUUGUCUUCAUGCUCUUCAGUCUUCACAGAGACAACAGUCAGUGGAAACUUGCUGAGAUCAGCCUCCUCCUGCCCUAGAAGACACUCUUCCUCCUGAGUGGUCCACACUUCCUCCUCUUCCUCUUUGAUGUGGGGUGGCUGCUGGACAUCUGUUGGGAGACGCCAGAGGGUCCAUGGCACCUGGUCUUCUUCGUUGAUGGAUCCUCCUUCACCAUCCUGAAGCUACACUCCUGUUUUUCAGGCAGAAGUUGUUCCUCACAGACGUCUGCAGGACACAAAAUAACAAACAUGCUUGAGAAAUUUCCAGAUUCAGUCAGUAAGUUCACAUGAACUUACAAAAACAAGUUAUUAUAUGAAUUGGCCUGAAAACAAACACUCUGCUUUUUACAACAUUAUUCACAGGAAAAGAAGACGACUUUUUACGAUGGGUGGGCAAUAUGGCCUAAAAUCUAUAUUGCGAUAAAUUCCCUUUAACCUGAGUGCAGCUGGGCUAGGCUCCAGCGCCCCCUGUGAUUUUAAUGUCAGUUACUGAUGUAUAAACUUGGAGAAAAGAUUAGGUUGUUUACAGUGUAAAUCUGAAUUCUGUAUUGUUGUCUCUGCUAUGACGCCAUCUUGUGGUCGAGAGUAUUUCCUUUUGCUUCGUGCCUUGAACCCGAAGUAAUGAUUCGUCAUUGAUCUCGCCAAGCAACAUUUGUAAGUGUAACCGGGGUUUUCCAUUGGAUGUGGAACGACGCUGCCAUAGCGACAGACUUGUUCCGUUUUUUGUUUUCAAGUCAAUGUGUCAGUUUCCACCACCUGGCUUCUAUAUUUAGUGUUCGACACAACAAAGCAUUUAAAUUUAGCUAAAAUCUGCUCGUGUGGGACAGGAAGUCAUGUAUAAGCAUAAAAUAAAGGAUCCAGUUUACUUUCAAAGUAGAACAUUCUGUUUAAGGCGGAUGGUAUGCUACACUUUGAAAAGUCCUAAUGGACAUGAAGUCAACUUGUCAAAAGGUUUUCAGACUUAAUUUCACCUCCUUGACACUAUUGGACGAAAACAUGCUGAUUCUAAAAGGUUCAAAAUUAAAGAAUCAUAUAACAGGCAUAUCCUGGGCAGUUAUAUGGGGGCCUGUACUACAGCGUUGUAUUAAAAUGACUAUUUCCAUCUCCAACAUUAAAGUGAGUGUCACUAACACUACUGCACACAGGAAAACGUGUGGAGGAGAAUUGCAAGUAGUCGAAACAAAGAUUGUGAAUAACUGAGAAGAGGCUCACUUUGUUCAUGUAAGUCUACUGUGGAAUAAACAUGCUCAGGUGCUGAGAGCGAUGCAAAGAGUGAGACCUCUUAUUCCAUUUUAAAAUCCAAAGACCAAGAAGGAAACAGACCGACAUAGCAAUUUAUUGAUGACGGUAAGAAUAAAGUUAUUAGGUUUAUUUUUAUUUAUAUCGGUCCCGGCCUACGGUUGCAUGAAUAUUUUAAUGCCUCUGGACAUCAUAUUUAAUGCUUUUUAAUACCAUCAAAGCCUUAAUUUAGGAAAAGUCUAUUUAAUUACUUAUAUUGCUUCUUAAUGACCCACAGAAACCCUGUUAAAGCUCUUAAAUUGAAACAAAUGUGGACUUAUCGAUACAAAAAUCGACUAUAAAAAUACCAAGUGGGGCUGGGCGAUAUAUCGAUAUACUCGAUGUAUCGCGGGUUUGUCUCUGUGCUAUAUAGAAAAUGACUAUAUCGUGACAUUCGAGCAUACGUUCUCACAGAGUUGCUUUUAGCUGCAGGCAUUACACUACAGGCUCUUCUCACUCUUUGUUGUCUCUGCUUCUCACAGAGAGAUAAAACAAGCGCACCUUCUUACAUACGUCACAUACGUAUACACCCUAGUGGAGCAGAGAGGUAAUACGAGAGAAAGAAGGUGCGAAUCUGGUAACAAAUGAAGGAAGAACUAAUUCCCAACAAAACAUCACGGGGUCCAUCGUCUGGCGGUGGUUUGGCUUCAAGUGGGAAUAUGUCGAACAGACAACCGUAAUUUGUCAAGUGUGGGGCAAAAGCGUGGCUACAAAAAGUAGCAUUAUUGCUAAUAUGUAGCAUCAUUUGAAAAGUCACUUGCUAGAGAAUGUCAACAUCUCCGUUCGGUACCACACCCACAAAAUGCCGAGGCACCCAUUUCCACAUCAACACCGUAUGAAAAAAAUAGUCAACAACAGAAGGAGAUAACGUCCGCAGGAACCUACCACAUAGCGAAAGACAUACACUAUUUGAUUUCCUAUUAUGCAGCUCAAUUUUAUUUGACAGUUAUUGAAAUAUCUUGUGUGUCAUCAUGCACAAAAGUAAACUAUUGUAGUGGCAUUCUGUACAAAAAGUGCACUUUAACUUGGUGUUUUGAUAUGUCAUCUUAGUGACAUCAUACACAAAAGUGCACUCCUAGCUUGUUUUAAAAUGUCUCUGACAAUCUUGGACUUUCUGUUUGGAAAUGACAUGAAUGUUUGUGCCACCGCUUAAUAACUGUUUAAUAAAUACAGUUCUUCUAAAUUGACUUACCGUAUUUUUCGGACUAUAAGUCGCAGUUUUUUUCAUAGUUUGGCCGGGGGUACGACUUAUACCCAGGAGCGACUUAUGUGUGAAAUGAUUUACACAUUACCGUAAAAUAUCAAAUAAUAUUAUUUAGCUCAUUCACGUAAGAGACUAGACGUAUAAGAUUUAAUCAGAUUUAUGGAUUACGAGUGACAUAUUGUUUGGUAAAGGUAUAGCAUGUUCUAUAUGUUAUAGUUAUUUGAAUGACUCUUACCAUAGUAUGUUACGUUAACAUACCAGGCACCUUCUCAGUUGGUUAUUUAUGCGUCAUAUAAUGUACACUUAUUCAGCCUGUUGUUCACUAUUCUUUAUUUACUUUAAAUUGCCUUUCAAGCGCUUUCUCUAUUGGUAUUUGUAUUGCUCCAGUUGUAGUAUAAAAUGCUCAUUGUCAUUUCUAUAUUAUUAUUUAUUUCACUAACUGCUUCUUUGCUAUCACUUUUAUGAUCAUAUUUGUACAUAUCGUAUGUGCUGGUGUUGUUCUAUUGUUGUUGUUGUUUUUGUUGUUAUUGUUGUGUUUGCUGUUGUUGUUUUUGUCUCUCUGUCUAAUCCCCCUCAUAUCCCCACAAUUUCCCCCUGUUUUCCUUUUUUUCUCUUUCUAUCCCCUCCUGCUCACCAAAUGAUAAUAUAAAUACAUUUAAUAGAGUCAAAUUCAAAUAAGGCAACAAGAGAAGUAUCCUACACUUCUCUUUUGUAAAGUAAAUCUGAACAGCCGAUAUGGGCAUCUACAUCAAAUAUAUGAUUUGCCUGAGAAGCUGGACAAGACAAAAAAAAAAUACAAAAAUAAAUAAAUUGCCUUUCAAACGUCUAUUCUUGGUGUUGGGUUUUAUCAAAUAAAUUUCCCCCAAAAAUGCGUUUUAUACUCCAGUGCGACUUAUAUGUUUUUUUCCUUCUUUAUUAUGCAUUUUCGGCAGGUACGACUUAUACUCCGGAGCAACUUCUACUCCGAAAAAUACGGUAUAGUUGUGAUUUCCCUCUGCAUGAAAGUUUAAAAUGAGCAUAUGUUAAUGCAGUAUUGAAGAAGAAUGUUUAAAUGUAGACACAUAGAAUCAUCAUACUGCUGUGAUUAUAUGCAUCAAGUGUUCAUUCAAGGCUAAGGCAAAAUAGCCAGAUAAAUAUGGUGUAUCGUGACAUGGCCUAAAAAUAUCGAAAUAUUAAUAAAAGGCCAUAUCGCCCAGCCCUAGUUAGAAUGUGUUUUUUUUUUUUAAACAUAUCAACCGUCGUGUCUUUUGUGAUUGUGAACGAUAGAAAAAUUCCCCUAAAAAUUGCAGUUCCCCUUUAAAUUCAAAUGAUUAGAUUUAAGACUUUAAGUCUAUGAGCAUGAAGUGAUGAAGCCUACUUGGAUGAGAGGACAAACGUCUUCUAAGACAAAGUAAAGAGUCCAGUUGUGAUGGAUUGAAUGCCCUGAGAAUAAAAUGAUAUGUGGAUGUUGUGCUUACUUGGACUGUGAUGAAGCUGUGAGGACUCAGGUGGUUUGUCUUCAUGCUCUUCAGUCUUCACAGAGACAACAGUCAGUGGAAACUUGCUGAGAUCAGCCUCCUCCUGCCCUAGAAGACACUCUUCCUCCUGAGUGAUCCACACUUCCUCCUCUUCCUCUUUAAUGUGAGGGAACUGUUGAUCAUCCUCUUCCUCUUUAAUAUGGGGGGGAUGCUGAACAUCUGUUGGGUAAACAAGUAAAUAAAAUUAAUAGAGAAUAGAAAUAGUUUUGUAUUGACACUGUUAACACAAUGACAUUAUUUGUGUUCUUCCGUGUGUUGUGUUAAAAGUGUGUAGCAAAACAACUAAUGAAAAACAAGGGAAAUACCAACUUGUUUCCUAAAAUUAAUUCAAAAGUGGUACAGUGAGUACAAAAACAGACUUGGAAAUUCGACGAGGGGCAAUUUGAAAAGCUUUUAUAAGUACGAGGCGGUAUUGAUGAAACAUUCUUAACUUCACUGAUGUAAAGUUUGUAAAAAUUGAUAUAGUCAUGAACAUAACUUCAAUAUCAUGGAAAUAAAAAACAUCUUAUUCCAAAAUCACUUUAAAAAAAACAUUCAUGGUAUGUUUUUGUCAUUAUGCAAAAUACGUUUUUGUAGUCAUUUUGUUGGCUGGGCCAAAAGGAACUUUUAACAAAAAAAUGUUUUACUAUGUGCUGUUUUAUGGAGUAUCUCCAUCAACAAUUCUUCUUUAGGAAUUGGAGACCAUCUACGACACGCUGAAGGAAAGUCAGUCACCUUUAUGCUCUCUUAAUAAUUCAAGUGUUGACUACUUUGGUUAUUGAACAUAAAUGUUUACUUUCACUUAUUGUUGCAUGUAAGUCAGAAUCAGGAAGUGAAAUUAUUAUUAUUAUUACUUUAAUUAGAUUUGAUUACAGCAUAAAAUGUAUUUGGUAACUGUGUGAGUUUUGUGUAAACAUGUUGAUACAGGUUUACAUCUUCUUGGGGACUGGAACACAGAUAUCUCCUUUUUUUUUCUUUGUCAUGAAAAAGGGACGUUUUUAUCAUGAAAAAGGGAGGUUUUUGUGGUUGGUGCACUAAUUGUAAGUGUAUAUUGUGUUUUUUGUGUUGAUUUAAUAAAAAUAUUAUUAUUAUUGUU
Nerophis ophidion (straightnose pipefish) is the source of this 5188-nucleotide long non-coding RNA. RefSeq lists it as uncharacterized. The record is from RefSeq and is a predicted model, not a curated record. Lineage: Eukaryota; Metazoa; Chordata; Actinopteri; Syngnathiformes; Syngnathidae. The transcript is spliced from 2 exons.